AAGAAAAGGAGCUGAGCUGGCUGGAGGCUGCAAUUCUGAAUGUGAGCUUAACUGGGAGGAACCAUGAAGACAUCCAUGGGAGCUUUAAUCACGUUCUCGUGGCUGCAACUGAACUGGUUCAGCCAGGGAGAGAAUGUGGAGCAGCAUCCUUCUACCCUGAGUGUCCAGGAGGGAAGCAGCUCUGUUAUCAGCUCCAGUUAUUCAGACAGGGCCUCAGAAUUCUUCCCUUGGUAUAAGCCAGAACUUGGAAAAGGUCCCCUGCUCCUUACAUACAUUCUUUCAACUGUGGCCACAAAAGAAGACCAAAGACUCACUGUUUUAUUGAAUAGGAGGGCCAAACGUUUCUCCCUGCACAUCAGAGACACCCAGCCUGAAGACUCAGCUGUGUACUUCUGCGCAGCAAAUUGUUCUGAAGGCCAGAAGUUGAAAUUAUUUUCACAGGGCUGA
Lutra lutra (Eurasian river otter) is the source of this 447-nucleotide non-coding RNA. Lineage: Eukaryota; Metazoa; Chordata; Mammalia; Carnivora; Mustelidae. The record is from the annotation of a RefSeq genome assembly.